This 734-nucleotide long non-coding RNA is filed under the name Carica papaya (papaya). RNAcentral's name for it is "long non-coding RNA (CPAP_LNC001670)". Lineage: Eukaryota; Viridiplantae; Streptophyta; Magnoliopsida; Brassicales; Caricaceae. The record is from RNAcentral.
CAAAAUCAAAUUCAGAAAAUUGACCUGAUACAAGCAAACACGAGCGCACAACGAAUGAUAUCGAUAUCUGCUGACAGAAAAAACACACUACUGCAUUACAAGAAAGCAGAUCAAAUAUCCAUGUUCGUAAUUCAACUCGUAUUCCCAAUACAAUGGUUUCGGUUAGCAGUUCUAUAUUAGGUAAGUUAAAAAGAUCCCAAUACCUCACUAAUUCGUGAGAUAACUCGGACUCCAUAAAAUUCCAUUGAAUUCCCUUUGGAUUGACAGUAACUGUUUACAACCUACAGACAAGUUGACCUCUAAAAAGAAUGGCCGCUGUACAGUCACUAUAGGCUUAUAAAAAUCUACUUGAUGAGGUUAAAGAAUUUGGGUUGCCAAACAAAAAACUUUUAAAACUUGUUAAAGGAUGAAAGAAAAAUAAAUUAGUUUCAGCUUUCACAUCAUUCCUUGCUUUCUUGUAUAUACUUUUAAAAAUAUAAAGACAAAGUUGACCAUCAGUCAUACUCAUCAUAACCAUAAUCUUCAUCAUAAGCUUCCUCCAGAUUUUCAUAAGCCAUUUCAUAGCCAUAGGCUUCUCCAGCAUCAUGCUCAUCUUUGUAGUCAUCUUCUAGUCCCAAGUCAACACUUUCAUACGUGUCAUCUAAUUCACUCUUUUUCUUUGGAACAUUGUGCAUCUUCUCAUCAUCGUCAGAAUAUGAUUCAGUUCGACUCUUCUUGGUGUUCUCAGGAGCCAC